RNAcentral lists this ribosomal RNA (406 nucleotides) under uncultured bacterium. RNAcentral describes it as "partial 16S ribosomal RNA". It matches the Rfam family "Bacterial small subunit ribosomal RNA", at positions 30 to 526 of the family's 1533-position model. The record is from RNAcentral.
AUUGAACGCUGGCGGCAGGCCUAACACAUGCAAGUCGAACGAGCGGCGGACGGGUGAGUAAUGUAUGGGAAACUGCCCGAUGGAGGGGGAUAACUACUGGAAACGGUAGCUAAUACCGCAUACCAUCGGAUGUACCCAGAUGGGAUUCGCUUGUAGGUGGGGUAACGGCUUACCCAGGCGACGAUCCCUAGCUGGUCUGAGAGGAUGACCAGCCACACUGGGACUGAGACACGGUCCAGACUCCUACGGGAGGCAGCAGUGGGGAAUAUUGCACAAUGGGCGCAAGCCUGAUGCAGCCAUGCCGCGUGUAUGAAGAAGGCCUUCGGGUUGUAAAGUACUUUCAGCGGGGAGGCGUUACCGGAAGAAGAAGCACCGGCUAACUCCGUGCCAGCAGCCGCGGUAAUAG